RNAcentral lists this ribosomal RNA (497 nucleotides) under uncultured bacterium. Its description in RNAcentral is "partial 16S ribosomal RNA". It matches the Rfam family "Bacterial small subunit ribosomal RNA", at positions 28 to 507 of the family's 1533-position model. The record is from RNAcentral.
GAUGAACGCUGGCGGCGUGCCUAAUACAUGCAAGUCGAGCGAACGGACGAGAAGCUUGCUUUUCUGAUGUUAGCGGCGGACGGGUGAGUAACACGUGGAUAGCCUACCUAUAAGACUGGGAUAACGUCGGGAAACCGGAGCUAAGACCGGAUAAUAUUUUGAACCGCAUGGUUCAAAAGUGAAAGACGGUCUUGCUGUCACUUAUAGAUGGAUCCGCGCUGCAUUAGCUAGUUGGUAAGGUAACGGCUUACCAAGGCAACGAUGCAUAGCCGACCUGAGAGGGUGGUAGCCCACCCUGGAACUUGGACACGGUCCAGACUCCUACGGGAGGCAGCAGUAGGGAAUCUUACGCAAUGGGCGAAAGCCUGACGGAGCAACGCCGCGUGAGUGAUGAAGGUCUUCGGAUCGUAAAACUCUGUUAUUAGGGAAGAACAUAUGUGUAAGUAGCUGUGCACAUCUUGACGGUACCUAAACAGAAAGCCACGGCUAACUACGUG